GAUGAACGCUGGCGGCGUGCUUAACACAUGCAAGUCGAACGAAGCACUUUAUUUGAUUUCCUUCGGGACUGAUUAUUUUGUGACUGAGUGGCGGACGGGUGAGUAACGCGUGGGUAACCUGCCUUGUACAGGGGGAUAACAGUUGGAAACGGCUGCUAAUACCGCAUAAGCGCACGGCAUCGCAUGAUGCAGUGUGAAAAACUCCGGUGGUAUAAGAUGGACCCGCGUUGGAUUAGCUAGUUGGUGAGGUAACGGCCCACCAAGGCGACGAUCCAUAGCCGACCUGAUAGGGUGACCGGCCACAUUGGGACUGAGACACGGCCCAAACUCCUACGGGAGGCAGCAGUGGGGAAUAUUGCACAAUGGGCGAAAGCCUGAUGCAGCGACGCCGCGUGAGCGAAGAAGUAUUUCGGUAUGUAAAGCUCUAUCAGCAGGGAAGAUAAUGACGGUACCUGACUAAGAAGCACCGGCUAAAUACGUG
RNAcentral lists this ribosomal RNA (481 nucleotides) under uncultured bacterium. RNAcentral's name for it is "partial 16S ribosomal RNA". It matches the Rfam family "Bacterial small subunit ribosomal RNA", at positions 28 to 507 of the family's 1533-position model. The record is from RNAcentral.